Molecule: ribosomal RNA, 240 nt
Filed under: uncultured bacterium
Lineage: Bacteria
Description: partial 16S ribosomal RNA
Rfam family: Bacterial small subunit ribosomal RNA
Source: RNAcentral
UGUCUCCUACGGGAGGCAGCAGUAGGGAAUCUUCCAUAAUGGACGAAAGUCUGAUGGAGCAACGCCGCGUGAGUGAAGAAGGGUUUCGGCUCGUAAAGCUCUGUUUGUAGUGAAGAAAGAUAGAGGUAGUAACUGGCCUUUAUUUUACGGUAAUUACUUAGAAAGUCACGGCUAACUACGUGCCAGCAGCCGCGGUAAUACGUAGGUGGCAAGCGUUGUCCGGAUUUAUUGGGCGUAAAG